UCCCACAUGGUCUAGCGGUUAGGAUUUCUGGUUUUUCACCCAGGUGGCCUGGGUUUGACUCCCGGUGUGGAAA
This 73-nucleotide transfer RNA is filed under the name Alligator mississippiensis (American alligator). It matches the Rfam family "tRNA". From Rfam's summary of the family: Transfer RNA (tRNA) molecules are approximately 80 nucleotides in length. Their secondary structure includes four short double-helical elements and three loops (D, anti-codon, and T loops). Lineage: Eukaryota; Metazoa; Chordata; Crocodylia; Alligatoridae. The record is from Rfam by way of RNAcentral.